GGCACGGUGGUGCAGUGGUUAGUACUCACAAGAAGGAGGUUCUGGGUUCGAGUCCCGGCUGGGUCC
Molecule: transfer RNA, 66 nt
Filed under: Anguilla anguilla (European eel)
Lineage: Eukaryota; Metazoa; Chordata; Actinopteri; Anguilliformes; Anguillidae
Description: tRNA-OTHER
Source: RNAcentral